UGGGGAAUUGUUCGCAAUGGGCGCAAGCCUGACGACGCAACGCCGCGUGGAGGAUGAAGAUCUUCGGGUUGUAAACUCCUUUCGAUCGAGACGAAUGGCCCUUGGGUUAACAUCCCGAGGGAGUGACGGUACCGAGAGAAGAAGCCCCGGCUAACUCCGUGCCAGCAGCCGCGGUAAUACGGGGGGGGCAAGCGUUGUUCGGAAUUACUGGGCGUAAAGGGCUCGUAGGCGGCCAAUUAAGUCAUACGUGAAAUCCCUCGGCUUAACCGGGGAACUGCGUAUGAUACUGGAUGGCUUGAGUUCGGGAGAGGGAUGCGGAAUUCCAGGUGUAGCGGUGAAAUGCGUAGAUAUCUGGAGGAACACCGGUGGCGAAGGCGGCAUCCUGGACCGAUACUGACGCUGAGGAGCGAAAGCCAGGGGAGCAAACGGGAUUAGAUACCCCGGUAGUCCUGGCCCUAAACGAUGAAUGCUUGGUGUGGCGGGUAUCGAUCCCUGCCGUGCCGAAGCUAACGCAUUAAGCAUUCCGCCUGGGGAGUACGGUCGCAAGAGUG
RNAcentral lists this ribosomal RNA (551 nucleotides) under uncultured prokaryote. Its description in RNAcentral is "bacterial SSU rRNA". It matches the Rfam family "Bacterial small subunit ribosomal RNA", at positions 355 to 896 of the family's 1533-position model. The record is from RNAcentral.